Non-coding RNA from Treponema lecithinolyticum ATCC 700332, 74 nucleotides. The record is from Rfam. Lineage: Bacteria; Pseudomonadati; Spirochaetota; Spirochaetia; Treponematales; Treponemataceae.
GGGUUUAUAGCUCAUCAGGAUAGAGCAGCUGCCUUCUAAGCAGCAGGUAGGGGGUUCGAGUCCCUCUAGACCCG